AGCUUGUUCCUCACCUGGAACUUCCACAUGGGAUAUGUUUUCCCUCUGGAAGCCUUGAUACCAAAGAUAAUUCAAAAGAUCAGAUGGGACAAAGCAAGGGUUCUAGCCGUUGUUCCCUUCUGGCCAAACCAAAGCUGGUUUUCAGAAAUAGUGUAUGACAAUUUCAGGCUGGGUUCUUCCACUUUCAGACAACUUCAUAGAGAAUGUGGAUCUUCUAGAAGAGACCCUGAAAAUGUUCAAACUGACGGCAUGGUUGCUGC
Non-coding RNA from Pelobates cultripes (western spadefoot toad), 260 nucleotides. NCBI's taxonomy places the organism in Eukaryota, Metazoa, Chordata, Amphibia, Anura, Pelobatidae. The record is from the annotation of a GenBank genome assembly.